RNAcentral lists this long non-coding RNA (235 nucleotides) under Elaeis guineensis (African oil palm). RNAcentral describes it as "long non-coding RNA (EGUI_LNC014760)". Lineage: Eukaryota; Viridiplantae; Streptophyta; Magnoliopsida; Arecales; Arecaceae. The record is from RNAcentral.
UUUGAAAAAAGAAUUUCUAGUAAUCUUAGUAAGCAUGCAACUCUUACAUUUAUCAAUAUUUUCAUUAAAGUAUGGAAUUAAGUCUAAUUUAACCAUAUCAUGCAUUCUUUUAAAAUUUACAAGCCCUAAAUGAUUAUGCCAUAAAUAAGAAGAAUCAACAAAUAAGCACAAGAAACUUUAUUUGUAUCAAUAUUAAGCUUGAACAUAUCCUUAUAUAUAUAACCUUUUCCCACAA